UCAGUUUGAAACUGGGUUCUAUCUUGCUUCUUGAAAAUAUUCAUCUAAACAGGAACUUAAGGAUAUUAUGUUUUUCUUGUACAAUAUUGUCAAGCUAGUGCCAAGGAUAAAUUUCUGUAAAAGAUUUUUUAAAAAUUCACUUGAUAAUAGACUGGAUUGGAAAAAUGUGGCACAUAUACACCAUGGAAUAUUAUGCAGCAAUCAGAAAUGAUGAGUUUGUGUCGUUUGUAGGAACAUGGAUGAAUCUGGAGAACGUCAUCCUCAGCAAACUGACACAAGAACAGAAAAUGAAACACCGCAUAUUCUCACUCAUAGGCGGGUGAUGAAAAAUGAGAACACAUGGACACAGAAAGGUGCUCCCAGCCUGGGUCCCCAGCCACCCACCAACAGGAUUAUUGGGGCAGUAGCAGCUCUGCAACUCCUUGUGACAGAACUCCAAGUGGAAAUGGUCUGCCUCAAGUGAACUGUGCCUGUACCCUGGAAGUGGAAGCACUAGCUCUUUCUUUCUCCAACAUCAACUUCCUCAGCAUUCUGCAAUGCCUGCAGCCGGAGUGAAGUCUUCCAUGACACAAGAUUUUUCUAAAUCACUUCCUGAUCGGAAAUGCUGCUUACAUUGUCCCAGGAUACCCAUUCUUGUCCAUGACGUAUUAUAUUUGAAUAUAACACUGAUGGAUUUAGUUUGCUGAUAUUUUUAUUACAGAUUUUACAUUCUUGUUCAUAAGGGAGACAGGACUAUAAUUUUUUCUUUCUUUAUAUUAACAUCUUUACCUUGUUUUGCAGUUAGGUUUCUACUAGCUUGUAUGUAUUAUGGAAACUGUCACUUUUAUUUUUAAUUCUCUGAUAAUUUUUUCGUGAAAAUUAAAUAAUCUAUUUCUUGAGAAGUUAUUAAAAAUGCUCUCAAUUUUCUUCCUUUCUUUUUUUUUUUUUGAGACGGAGUUUUGCUCUUGUUACCCAGGCUGGAGUGCAAUGGCUCAAUCUCGGCUCAACGCAACCUCUGCCUCCUGGGUUCAGGCAAUUCUUUUGCCUCAGCCUCCUGAGUAGCUGGGAUUACAGGCACACACCACCAUGCCCAGCUAAUUUUUUGCAUUUUUAGUAGCGACGGGGUUUCACCAUGUUGACCAGGAUGGUCUCAAUCUCUUGACCUCGUGAGCCACCCACCUCGGCCUCCCAAAGUGCUGGGAUUACAGGCGUGAGCCACCGCGCCCGGCCCUCAAUCUUUCAUUUUUAAACCUGGAAAAAAUUUAACUACUUCUUGUUUACAAUGAUCAUAGAAUAAUGCACGAUUUUUCUUUUCCAAAUUUCUUUUUAGUAAGUUUUGACAAGUUACUCAUUGUAUAAAUUUUUCUUUUCCCAACAAAUACUGUUUUUUUGUGCUUUUUCUUAUUUUUAUAUUGAUUUUUCCAGCUAUUUACGAAUUUUAUCAGCUUAUUUUAAAAAGGUAUUGCUUUUGGCAGUUUCUCCAGAAUACUUCUAUAUUCGAUUUAGUUUCUAUUCUCAUAUUUACUAGUUUCCUUUUGAAAAAUUUUAGGGAAUUUUUACAACAUCUUAAGUUUUGGGUUGAACUAUUGACUCCACCUCUUUUUAAGGUUAAAAUUUUCUAAUUACUACUUUGGUUUCUGUCAUCUCAAGUAAAUAUGUAAUGUUUUAUAAUUGUUCAACUGUAAAGAAUGUUUCAAAUUUUUAUACUUUUGAUGUUUGACUUACUUAGAAUUCUUUUUAAUUUCCAAAUUAAUGUGAGUUUUAAAAACUGUGAUUUGAUUAACUUAACAUAUAUGCUAGUGUUUCCAAGCUUCCUAUUCAUAGUUCCCUAAUCUUUCCCUUAUUUUGGUUUGUAUAUAUUUCAGUUUUUCACUAAAUUCACUUGUAGUAUCUGCUCACUUAGAAAUUAUUCAACCUAUUACUGGGUGAAUAAUAAUUCUAGUUACUCCCCUGUUGACUUACAUAAUAUUUUAUAUUUGUUUUCUCUCUUUCUAACCCAAUGAUUUAUUAUUUUUACCAUUUCAUAUGGUAUUUGCUUAUAUUUACCUAUGAAAUUGCUGUUUUUUGGAUAAAUGCAUUUUCUUAUACUGCAGGGUUUGAAAAAUUAUUAUUAUUAUUGUUGUUUUUGAGACAGAGCUCUGUCACCUAGAUUGUACCACUGGAGUGCAAUGGUACAAUCUCAGAUCACUGCAACAUUCGCCUCCCAGAUUUAGGCAAUUCUUCUGCCCCAGCCUCCUGAAUAGUUGGGAUUACAGGCCCCCCUCUGUGUAAUUUUUGUAUUUUUAGUAGAGACAGGAUUUCACCAUAUUUGCAAGGCUGCUCUUGAAUAACUGACCUCAGGUGAUUUGCCUGCUUCAGCCUACCAAAGUGCUGGGAUUACAGGUGUGAGCCCCCACGCCUGGUCAACACCAUGGGGAGAAAUGCCAGAUACAGUAUGAACCUAAAGUUAAAUAAAUUUUAAAAAAUGAGAUAAAAUAAUAAAUAAAAGUAAGGUAAAAUUGGAGAUUGUUCAGUAAUGGAAGAGUGACUAGCAAUGACCUCGGCCUCAUCACAAAGCUUAUUUUCCCCAGAGAGACAGUGACUGCCUGAUUUGUGUUUCUGAGCAAUACUAGUGGUUAAAAAUCUUUUCCAAGGCAUUCUGUUAUCUCGCACUUUGUUUUAGAUGU
This 2645-nucleotide long non-coding RNA is filed under the name Callithrix jacchus (white-tufted-ear marmoset). RNAcentral describes it as "lncRNA (ENSCJAG00000074573.1)". Lineage: Eukaryota; Metazoa; Chordata; Mammalia; Primates; Cebidae. The record is from RNAcentral.